Molecule: ribosomal RNA, 254 nt
Filed under: uncultured bacterium
Lineage: Bacteria
Description: partial 16S ribosomal RNA
Rfam family: Bacterial small subunit ribosomal RNA
Source: RNAcentral
CACGUAGGGUGCGAGCGUUGUCCGGAAUUAUUGGGCGUAAAGAGCUCGUAGGCGGUGUGUCGCGUCGGCCGUGAAAACCUGCAGCUUAACUGUGGGCUUGCGGUCGAUACGGGCAUCACUGGAGUUCGGCAGGGGAGACUGGAAUUCCUGGUGUAGCGGUGAAAUGCGCAGAUAUCAGGAGGAACACCGGUGGCGAAGGCGGCUCUCUGGACGGUGACUGACGCUGAGACGCGAAAGCGUGGGGAGCAAACAGG